This 483-nucleotide ribosomal RNA is filed under the name uncultured bacterium. RNAcentral describes it as "partial 16S ribosomal RNA". It matches the Rfam family "Bacterial small subunit ribosomal RNA", at positions 30 to 507 of the family's 1533-position model. The record is from RNAcentral.
AUUGAACGCUGGCGGCAGGCCUAACACAUGCAAGUCGAGCGGAUGAAGGGAGCUUGCUCCUGGAUUCAGCGGCGGACGGGUGAGUAAUGCCUAGGAAUCUGCCUGGUAGUGGGGGAUAACGUCCGGAAACGGGCGCUAAUACCGCAUACGUCCUGAGGGAGAAAGUGGGGGAUCUUCGGACCUCACGCUAUCAGAUGAGCCUAGGUCGGAUUAGCUAGUUGGUGGGGUAAAGGCCUACCAAGGCGACGAUCCGUAACUGGUCUGAGAGGAUGAUCAGUCAAACUGGACCUAAGACACGGUCCGAACUCUUAGGGAAGCAGGCGGUGGGAAUUAUUGAACAUUGGGCGAAAGCUUGUUCAGGCAAUGCGGGGGGGGGAAGGAAGGUCUUCGGUUGGUAAGCCACUUUAGGUGGGGAGAAAGGGAGUUAGGUAAAAACCUUCUUGUUUGACGGUACCCAAAAAAUAAGGAACCGGUAAAUUUGGG